This 453-nucleotide ribosomal RNA is filed under the name Salmonella enterica. Its description in RNAcentral is "partial 23S ribosomal RNA". It matches the Rfam family "Bacterial large subunit ribosomal RNA", at positions 69 to 561 of the family's 2925-position model. The record is from RNAcentral. Lineage: Bacteria; Pseudomonadati; Pseudomonadota; Gammaproteobacteria; Enterobacterales; Enterobacteriaceae.
CGAUAAGCGCCGGUAAGGUGAUAUGAACCGUUAUAACCGGCGAUACCCGAAUGGGGAAACCCAGUGUGACUCGUCACACUAUCAUUAACUGAAUCCAUAGGUUAAUGAGGCGAACCGGGGGAACUGAAACAUCUAAGUACCCCGAGGAAAAGAAAUCAACCGAGAUUCCCCCAGUAGCGGCGAGCGAACGGGGAGGAGCCCAGAGCCUGAAUCAGCAUGUGUGUUAGUGGAAGCGUCUGGAAAGGCGCGCGAUACAGGGUGACAGCCCCGUACACAAAAGCGCAUGUGCUGUGAGCUCGAUGAGUAGGGCGGGACACGUGGUAUCCUGUCUGAAUAUGGGGGGACCAUCCUCCAAGGCUAAAUACUCCUGACUGACCGAUAGUGAACCAGUACCGUGAGGGAAAGGCGAAAAGAACCCCGGCGAGGGGAGUGAAAAAGAACCUGAAACCGUGU